This 502-nucleotide ribosomal RNA is filed under the name bacterium GWS4A. RNAcentral describes it as "bacterial SSU rRNA". It matches the Rfam family "Bacterial small subunit ribosomal RNA", at positions 376 to 871 of the family's 1533-position model. The record is from RNAcentral.
CGCAAGUCUGAUGGCAGCAACGCCGCGUGAUUGAAGAAGGGUUUUGGCUCGUAAAACUCUGUUGUUAAAGAAGAACGUGUUUGAGAGUAACUGUUCAGCCAGUGGCGGUAUUUAACCAGAAAAGCACGGCUAAAUUCGUUCCAGCAGCCGCGGUAAUUCGUGGGGGGCAAGCGUUAUCUGGAUUUUUUGGGGGUAAAGCGAGCGCAGGCGGUUUUUUUAAUUUGAUGUGAAAGUCUUCGGCUCAAACGAUGAAAUGCAUUGGAAACUGGGAAACUUGAGUGCAUAAGGGGGCAGUGGAAAUCCGUGGGGAACGGUGAAAAGGGGAGAAAUUUGGAAGGACUCCAGUGGGGAAAGGGGCCCUCUGGGCUGUAACUGACCGUGAGGCUCAAAAGCAUGGGUAGCCAACCGGGUUAGAUUCCCUGGUAGUUCAUUCCGUAAACAAUGGUUUAUAAACGUGGGAGGGUCUCCAGCCUUCCAUGCUGCAGCUAACGCAUGGAGUUCA